Chenopodium quinoa (quinoa) is the source of this 243-nucleotide long non-coding RNA. RefSeq lists it as uncharacterized. The transcript has 3 exons. Lineage: Eukaryota; Viridiplantae; Streptophyta; Magnoliopsida; Caryophyllales; Amaranthaceae. The record is from RefSeq and is a predicted model, not a curated record.
GGACCCUGCUGGUGAUUUAUGUUUCCAGUAACACAAUCUUCCUUUUUGAUUCAGCUCGAUUGCCUCAUCCAAAAAAGCUCCUCGUGAAGUCUGUACUGCUGAAAUGUUAUGAAGAAGAUAAAUUGUCGAGCUCCUCAAGGUACAACAUGGAAAUCACCGAUGUGCGCACAACAAGAUAACGGAGUUGAUUGUGGACUAUACGUGAUAAGAUUCAUGUUCGACAUAUAUACUAAGUCGUUGUAC